Molecule: long non-coding RNA, 788 nt
Organism: Coregonus clupeaformis (lake whitefish)
Lineage: Eukaryota; Metazoa; Chordata; Actinopteri; Salmoniformes; Salmonidae
Exons: 3
Source: RefSeq, a predicted model, not a curated record
GCUGGGGUCCGACCCAACCACUUGUUUGAAAAAGUGCGGAAGGGUUUGCAACAAGUUUGUCAAGGUGAAGAAAAUAAACAAGGGCUGCAGUGGAGAUGCUGCUGGAAAUGCUACUCCAGAAAUGUUGCUGCUGGCUUGUUCGCCAUGGGAAGACUGAAAGCAACAUGCCGUCUUAACCAAAGGAUGGGGCACAAACACCAGUGAAUGGAGACAGCACCUGGUUUUGUUCUCUGCGCCCCAGCACUGCCUGUUCAUCGGCCCCAAGCACUACCUCUGCCCCCAGUACUGACUGGUGAUCGGCGCCCAGCACAUCUCCCAUACUGAAUUAUAGUGCAGAAUUAGAAAAGAUCUCCAUGCAGGACCUGGGAAGCACUACCCUGGGCCAACCUCCAAGACCUACUCAACUGGCUUGCUCCUCAACGAUGCCAGCGUAGUAGCAGGGGUGUGAGAAGGGAGAAAAGAGCUGCAGACACAUCACUCGCAAAGGCAUUGCAAUGUCAUGCACCGAGCCACCAGCUUGUCCCAGAGGGUCCUGGCACCUAUAGCUGAUUUCAUGGAUGAACUCUCCCCAAAACUCUGGGAGAAAUUAGAUCACCAGCUGCAUGAGUUUGUGCAUGACUUCAAGAGUACAUGGCGCGAAUGACUGGGACCACAGUGAAAUUAACAACUUGUUCUGUUCAGACAUCUCAGGAGUCAGACACUAGACACUUGUUUACAUGUCUGUUCUCAGCAGACAUUUUGGUAUUGUGGUUUACUUUCAGAAGCAAGAAUAAAGUUAUAUUUGUGUG